CUUAGUAGAAUAGUACCUAGUUUUUAUCUAAGAUAUAUUAACUGUUAUUAUUAUGAUUUGUAUCAAGUUUUCCUAAAGAGAUGACAUUUGAGAUUGGUUCUUAAGGGAAUCGUAACAAAUGGAAAUGUGAGUGAAGAGCAUUAUAAAUGACUGAACAACUUAUUUGAAGACCCAGAGAACUCAAAGAAUGGGAACCAGGGAGUGAUCUUUUGGAAAAGAGCAUACAACUGUGGAAAAAUGGGAUAAAUCAAGCCCCCAUUCUUGCUGAGUUCUUACUUCACCAUAAAUUAGGCACCUGAAUUCUGCAGAUCUUGGAAAAUUCACAGUCCUAAUAUACCCGUCAUCCACACAUUUGAAGAUGAGGAAACAAUUACUUUCAACAGGCAUAGAGACAGAAGCAGUAUCUACCAAGUACAUGGAGAAGAGAAUCACCACCCCCCCCAAAUCAGUCACCUCAAUCCUUCUGUAUCCUGCAAUAAAAUGGGGCACAAGCAAAUAAGAGCUUAUUUACUGCUGCAUAAAAGUUUGGCUGAACAGUCAAGGAGAGGAAGUCUGCUUUCGAUUUCAACCAUCUGGAAACAUUACAUCUCAAAACUAAGAUCUUUCCAAUUUUCUUGUAGGAUAAGUAGCGUGUCUUCUCCUUAACUCUACACUCUGUAGACUAGAGCAGAUAUCAUAGAAAUAAUGAUCAUCAUAGGUAAAUUAACCCAUGUAAGUGUAUCGGUCCUCCAGAACUUUCAAAAACUUGGGGAAAAAUAUUAACAAUGGUCUCUUAAAAUGUGAAAUCCCCACACGUUUUAAAUUAGAGAAAUUAUUUGCAAAGUCAUCAUUGCUGUGUUUUGUAAUCCCUCGUAAAUGUAGAACAUAGCUCUCUUACAUCUAUUUGCCCUCAAAACUAUUUUUCUUCUUCAAAGCAAGUAAGAAUCACUUUUUUCUCAAGGAUAUCUGGGUAAAGAGAUGUGCCCUGAGUUUCUAGAUCAGCCCCCUGAAGUGUUGUUUGACACUUUGCAAGUCACUUAACUCCUUUGGAACUUCUGUUUCUCUCUGUGUAAAAUGAUACUGACCACCCACUGAACCUACGGGCAUGGAGCAGCCCUGGACACUGGAGUGUGCCAGUGCUUAGGAUGAAAGUGUCAUGUAAAUUCCAGGGAGGCAGUGUGGUCCAAUGUGGAAAGGGUUCAAUUAACCCCCAGGAGACCAAGGGGCUUUGUUUUCAAUUCAGAGGCUAAGUGACCCUGGAGACUACCUCUACUCAGAGCCUCGACUAUCUCCACAGGACAGUGUGCAGUCUCAAUCACUACUCAACUGAGUUUCAAACUUUUAUUUCUCUUGCUUAUUUCAAUUUUUUU
This is a long non-coding RNA of Acinonyx jubatus (cheetah), 1349 nucleotides long. RefSeq lists it as uncharacterized. The record is from RefSeq and is a predicted model, not a curated record. Lineage: Eukaryota; Metazoa; Chordata; Mammalia; Carnivora; Felidae. The transcript is spliced from 3 exons.